UCCACUGCUAGCCCUUCUGAGUGGACUGCGAGCUUCAGACCUCCCUUGCUGACCUAGCCACCCAUGACAUCCCAUGAAAGCUUGCUACAGCCAGAUCCAUCAGUGCUUGACCUGCUUGGUCUUGUUGCUAAAGGGGAACAACAGAGCUUGGGGCCCAUGGCCCACAUGAAGGUAUCUUUGUCAGAGUCCCAAGUCUCACUGGACAUCUCAGAUUGCUCCUACCAGGUCUUGCUCUAAUGAGACUCCUUCAAUGAAGACAAUGCCUCAUCUUGAUCUUCAGAUUCUUGGCUCCAUGAUGCCCCUGUUCAGCAAAAAGUAGCCAGAUGAUUUCUUCGUCCAUUUUCUAUCAAAUAGAGUCUGGUAUGAUAGGUCAGGAUUCAAAGUUUCCCAGGCACCUUGCGCCAAACACUCUCCCUCUUGGUUUCCCUGCAUCCAA
Octodon degus (degu) is the source of this 436-nucleotide long non-coding RNA. RefSeq lists it as uncharacterized. NCBI's taxonomy places the organism in Eukaryota, Metazoa, Chordata, Mammalia, Rodentia, Octodontidae. The record is from RefSeq and is a predicted model, not a curated record. The transcript is spliced from 3 exons.